GGGGAAUUUUCCGCAAUGGGCGAAAGCCUGACGGAGCAAUACCGCGUGGGGGAAGAAGGUCUUUGGAUCGUAAACCUCUUUUCUCAGGGAAGAAGUUCUGACGGUACCUGAGGAAUAAGCCUCGGCUAACUCCGUGCCAGCAGGGCCGCGGUAAUACGGAGGAGGCAAGCGUUAUCCGGAAUUAUUGGGCGUAAAGCGUUCGCAGGUGGCUCGUCAAGUUCUGCCUGGGUUCAAAGACCGGAGCUUAACUCCGGGUAGGCGGUGGAAACUGAAGAGCUAGAGUGCGGUAGGGGUAGAGGGAAUUCCCAGUGUAGCGGUGAAAUGCCCCCGUAGAGAUUGGGAAGAACACCCGGUGGCGAAAGCGCUCUACUAGGCCGCAACUUGGACUAAUUCAGGGACGAAAGCUAGGGGAGCGAAUGGGAUUAGAUACCCCAGUAGUC
Molecule: ribosomal RNA, 440 nt
Filed under: uncultured cyanobacterium
Lineage: Bacteria; Bacillati; Cyanobacteriota
Description: bacterial SSU rRNA
Rfam family: Bacterial small subunit ribosomal RNA
Source: RNAcentral